GGGAUUGAUUGAAAUACCCAAUCUUUCUGAGGAAAAUGAAGUAGAUGACACUGAGGUCAACGUGAGUAAAAAGAAAGGAGAUGGGGUUGUACUGAAGGAUCUUAUGAAAACUGCAGGCACUGCCAAGGUCAGGGAGGCCCUUGGAGAUUACCUGAAGGCACUUAAGACGGAAUUUACAACGGGAAUGAUUUUACCAACGAAAGCUAUGGCAACCCAGGAAUUGACUGUCAAAAGAAAACUGAGUGGGAAUACCCUGCAGGUUCAGGCCUCAUCUCCAGUGGCACUGGGUGUAAGGAUUCCCACGGUGGCUCUUCACAUGAUGGAACUGUUUGACACAACUGUAGAGCAGCUGUAUAGCAUCUUCACUGUAAAGGAUGUAAGUAACUCCCUAAGCUAGCAUGUUAAGUGCUGACAUUGGGAGAAAAUACAUUACAAAGAACAGGAGCUGGUUUUUGGUUUUCCUUGUGGCUGUGUUUUUGAUUGAAGGGAUGUGGGAUGGUGGUG
This 504-nucleotide small RNA is filed under the name Pan troglodytes (chimpanzee). Its description in RNAcentral is "retained intron". Lineage: Eukaryota; Metazoa; Chordata; Mammalia; Primates; Hominidae. The record is from RNAcentral.